Molecule: long non-coding RNA, 1816 nt
Filed under: Mytilus galloprovincialis (Mediterranean mussel)
Lineage: Eukaryota; Metazoa; Mollusca; Bivalvia; Mytilida; Mytilidae
Source: RNAcentral
CAAAACUCAAGUAUUAACAUUAAUGGUAUGGAAAACACAUUUUUUUCACAUUGUUAUACAAUUAUAAUCAUAUAGCAAUUUACAUGUUUUCCUCAAAUUUUGAAUUGAAGCUAGGUUAUCGAUAACAAAACGAAUAACUAUAUAUCCUAAGGAUAUUAAAUGAUUUUAUUUCCCUCAUAACUGUGGUGUUGGUUAACGUAAUGGUUCAAUUUGUCAAAAGCAGUUCAAAUUACAUUUUUGGACUAUCUUCUGGCGUUUAUAAUUUAUUUAGAUGAUAUGUUAAGAAGUGAGCCUAAGAGUUUUGAAACCUUUGCAUGCUUUAACUACCGAUAUGACAGAUCAAUCAUGGUAGAGCCCGAAUAGGCUUGCUGUAACUACUGACCUAACAGAGAUCAUUCAUGUUAGAGCCAGAGUAAAACUCGCUCUACCUGAUAUUACAGAUCAUUCAUGGAAUAUCUUAAAUAGGGCAUGUUCUAUCUCAUGAUAUAACAGAUAACUUUUUGUAGAACUUGAAAAAUACUUGCUCUACCUACUAAUAUCAUAAGUUAUAUGGUUCGCUACUGACCCCCUACGGAUCCAUAGAGGGUUAGUAAAUUUCAUAGGAGGGAGGCCGGAGGUGGUCCGUAGGGGGUCAGUAGUUAACCAUAUAACGAAUUUAUCGUACGCUGGACUUUUUCUGCUGUGUUAUGUUGAAAAAUAAACAAUGAAACACAACACCAUUAAUAGAUGACGUCACCAUUAACGCGUAAUGAACCCCCUAUGAAAUUUACUAACCCACUACGGUCUUAUAGGGGGUCAACACGUGACGGCGUUAAACCAAUCACAACGUGAUAUUUUACCCGCGGUGCGAUAAGAUAUAUAAUUCAUGGUAGAGCCUGGAAAGGACUUGCUCUACCUUCUAGAAUGAAAUUCAAAACAGUGUGGCUGUGGCCAUUGAUUGACACGUUAAGUUCAUCCAUUGACUGGGACAAUUUACGUGAACGUUUGUCUGUAACGACCACUGUUCACGACGUACUUACGAUAGACAUUUAAACUGUGGGGUCACCAAAGGUUUCUUAACGCCUUUAAUUAUAAAAUAAUUCGAAAAAUAAUAACCCUUAUGUUUUGAUUUAUAUAAUUGAUAUAAAUCAAAACAUCGUGUUUUUUCUGAUUAAUUUUUCGAAUUACUUUAUUAAGGUGUUGGGAACCUUUGGUGACCCCAUAGUUUAAGUGUCUUUAAAAAGUACAUAGUGAGCAGUGGUCAUUACAUACAAACGUUCACCUAAAUUGUCCCAGUCAAUGGAUGAAUUUAAUGUGUCAAUCAAUGGCCACAGCCACACUGUUUGGAAUUUCAUUCUACUUCCUACUAACAUGAUAUAUCAUUCACGGUUGAGACUGAAUAGGGCUUGAUCUACCUACUGAUAUGACAGAUCAUGCAUGGUACAGCCCUAUUUCUAAUCAGUUUUCUUCAAAUUUGUUUUUGUGCAUCAAAAUACUUAUAACAUUUCUUGUUGCAAUAUUUCAAAAAAAUAGCCUCUGCAUGUACACACAACUUCAUUACUAUGGAAACUGAAAUUUCACUAUAAAAGUUUCUUUUGAAGAUAUGAAUAAAGCACUAGAGUUAAUACAGCCUGAUUGAUCUUUAAAAGUUUCAAUUGCAGGUUGACUGAACCCGAUUUAAAACCAACAGUUACCUGCACAGACGGUAUUUAAAAAAGCCAAAGACUAUAUGAGGUAUGAUGGAAGAGAACUGGAAACCUUCAAGCUGCGAAACAAUCUUUCAUUGAUGAUAUACACCAUUUCAUAUAUACUGUCAUCAUGUUUAUAUAAAUGUUCC